This 28-nucleotide small RNA is filed under the name Bombyx mori (domestic silkworm). RNAcentral describes it as "ovarian small RNA-20455". The record is from RNAcentral. Lineage: Eukaryota; Metazoa; Arthropoda; Insecta; Lepidoptera; Bombycidae.
UACAUUACUUCUUCAAGUGCGUACAAGC